Prunus avium (sweet cherry) is the source of this 320-nucleotide non-coding RNA. Lineage: Eukaryota; Viridiplantae; Streptophyta; Magnoliopsida; Rosales; Rosaceae. The record is from RefSeq and is a predicted model, not a curated record.
AUAUCAACAAAUUACUGUUUACUUUGGGGCAAUCUGAGUCCAGUUCCAAGGGGCCUCGGUGCUAAACACAGAAAUUUCAAGUGUAAACAAUGGCAUCCAAAUCCUUAACGGUCUCCUACUGUCUCAGAAAAUCGACUGGACAGGUUGCAGCGUGUCAAUAUGGCAGCAGCUAAACAAUGUCUACCCUUCAGUUGGACGCAGCUGCCAUGCAUCUUCCCAAUUUGAUUAAACAAAUGUUUAUAGAUUUGGACAAGCAAAAAGAAACAAAUAUCUUUCUUAAAAAAAUUUAAAACGUUGGGUUUUUAGGUCCCGCUGUAUGU